UAACCAAUCACAGAAGAGAAUGAAGUCAGUCAAAAUCAAAGUUUACUGGUCACGUACACAUGAAGCAAGAUGAUUAAACCGGAAAAUAGAUAUAAAUAAAUUAAGAAAUAAAGUCAGAGACCAGAAUAUAAAUAUAUACAUAUAUAUAAGAUCAAUCAAUCAAUGAGCUAGAGGGAGAUAGAGACAGAAAGAGGAGAGAUGGCGAGAGAGAGAGAUGGCCUAGGGACAGAGACAGAAGAUAUUGUUACAGGCUCAGUUCCUGUUUCCUGUGCGAGUCUCUAGAAGAGGAAGAGGAGUUGAGUCAAAUCUGAAAUGGCUGCCGGUAACACUUAGUUACCACGUCUACUACAGCUGCUAGUGACUGAAACACUAUCUAUUUAUAGUGUGUGUGUGUGUGUGUGUGUGUGUGUGUGUGUGUGUGUGUGUGUGUGUGUGUGUGUGUGUGUGUGUGUGUGUGUGUGUGUGUGUGUGUACACGUUUCAGUAGAGACAGAGAGGAAAACACGUUUCAGUAGAGACAGGGAGGAGAGGAAAACAGGUUUCAAUAGAGACAGAGAGGAGAGGAAAACACGUUUCAAUAGAGACAGAGAGGAGAGGAAAACACGUUUCAAUAGAGACAGAGAGGAGAGGAAAACAGGUUUCAAUAGAGACAGAGAGGAGAGGAAAACACGUUUCAAUAGAGACAGAGAGGAGAGGAAAACACGUUUCAAUAGAGACAGAGAGGAGAGGAAAACACGUUUCAAUAGAGACAGAGAGGAGAGGAAAACACGUUUCAAUAGAGACAGAGAGGAGAGGAAAACAGGUUUCAAUAGAGACAGAGAGGAGAGGAAAACACGUUUCAAUAGAGACAGAGAGGAGAGGAAAACACGUUUCAGUAGAGACAGAGAGGAAAACAGGUUUCAGUAGAGACAGAGAGGAGAGGAAAACAGGUUUCAGUAGAGACAGAGAGGAAAACAGGUUUCAGUAGAGACAGAGAGGAAAACACGUUUCAGUAGAGACAGAGAGGAAAACACGUUUCAGUAGAGACAGAGAGGAAAACAGGUUUCAGUAGAGACAGAGAGGAGAGGAAAACACGUUUCAGUAGAGACAGAGAGGAAAACAGGUUUCAGUAGAGACAGAGAGGAAAACAGGUUUCAGUAGAGACAGAGAGGAGAGGAAAACACGUUUCAGUAGAGACAGAUGAAAACAGGUUUCAGUAGAGACAGAGAGGAGAGGAAAACAGGUUUCAGUAGAGACAGAGAGGAGAGGAAAACACGUUUCAGUAGAGACAGAGAGGAGAGGAAAACAGGUUUCAGUAGAGACAGAGAGGAAAACACGUUUCAGUAGAGACAGAGAGGAGAGGAAAACAGGUUUCAGUAGAGACAGAGAGGAGAGGAAAACACGUUUCAAUAGAGACAGAGAGGAAAACAGGUUUCAGUAGAGACAGAGAGGAGAGGAAAACAGGUUUCAGUAGAGACAGAGAGGAGAGGAAAACAGGUUUCAGUAGAGACAGAGAGGAGAGGAAAACACGUUUCAGUAGAGACAGAGAGGAGAGGAAAACACGUUUCAGUAGAGACAGAGAGGAGAGGAAAACACGUUUCAAUAGAGACAGAGAGGAAAACACGUUUCAGUAGAGACAGAGAGGAGAGGAAAACAGGUUUCAGUAGAGACAGAGAGGAGAGGAAAACACGUUUCAAUAGAGACAGAGAGGAAAACAGGUUUCAGUAGAGACAGAGAGGAAAACAGGUUUCAGUAGAGACAGAGAGGAGAGGAAAACAGGUUUCAGUAGAGACAGAGAGGAGAGGAAAACAGGUUUCAGUAGAGACAGAGAGGAAAACAGGUUUCAGUAGAGACAGAGAGGAGAGGAAAACAGGUUUCAGUAGAGACAGAGAGGAGAGGAAAACAGGUUUCAGUAGAGACAGAGAGGAAAACAGGUUUCAGUAGAGACAGAGAGGAGAGGAAAACAGGUUUCAGUAGAGACAGAGAGGAGAGGAAAACAGGUUUCAGUAGAGACAGAGAGGAGAGGAAAACAGGUUUCAGUAGAGACAGAGAGGAAAACAGGUUUCAGUAGAGACAGAGAGGAAAACACGUUUCAGUAGAGACAGAGAGGAAAACAGGUUUCAGUAGAGACAGAGAGGAGAGAUGAACAGAGUGUUCAGUGUUCCUGUCUCUACAGCCUGUUCUGCUGAGGUUUCUGUCUCUGUUCGAGUCUGUGGCUGCAGAGGCGACGCUCAGUUUCCGCUACAACAGACCGAGAGCGAGAAAGAGAUUGAUGAAGAGAAGGAGAGAGAGAGAAACAGCGAGAGGUAAAGAGAGAGCCGGGACGUGUAUAACAGAGAUAGAGAGCAAGAUGUAGAU
Molecule: long non-coding RNA, 2336 nt
Organism: Oncorhynchus keta (chum salmon)
Lineage: Eukaryota; Metazoa; Chordata; Actinopteri; Salmoniformes; Salmonidae
Exons: 9
Source: RefSeq, a predicted model, not a curated record